CUACGUGCCAGCAGCCGCGGUAAUACGUAUGUCACGAGCGUUAUCCGGAUUUAUUGGGCGUAAAGCGCGUCUAGGUGGUUAUGUAAGUCUGAUGUGAAAAUGCAGGGCUCAACUCUGUAUUGCGUUGGAAACUGUGUAACUAGAGUACUGGAGAGGUAAGCGGAACUACAAGUGUAGAGGUGAAAUUCGUAGAUAUUUGUAGGAAUGCCGAUGGGGAAGCCAGCUUACUGGACAGAUACUGACGCUGAAGCGCGAAAGCGUGGGUAGCAAACAGGAUUAGAUACCCUGGUAGUCCACGCCGUAAACGAUGAUUACUAGGUGUUGGGGGUCGAACCUCAGCGCCCAAGCAAACGCGAUAAGUAAUCCGCCUGGGGAGUACGACCGCAAGGUUGAAACUCAAAGGAAUUGACGGGGGCCCGCACAAGCGGUGGAGCAUGUGGUUUAAUUCGAAGCAACGCGAAGAACCUUACCAGGUCUUGACAUCCC
This 486-nucleotide ribosomal RNA is filed under the name uncultured bacterium. RNAcentral describes it as "bacterial SSU rRNA". It matches the Rfam family "Bacterial small subunit ribosomal RNA", at positions 501 to 990 of the family's 1533-position model. The record is from RNAcentral.